Molecule: ribosomal RNA, 494 nt
Filed under: uncultured bacterium
Lineage: Bacteria
Description: partial 16S ribosomal RNA
Rfam family: Bacterial small subunit ribosomal RNA
Source: RNAcentral
GACGAACGCUGGCGGCGCGCUUAACACAUGCCAGUCGAACGGAAAGGCCUGCUUUCCCUUGUGGAUUGCGGGUACUCGAGUGGCGAACGGGUGAGUAACACGUGAGUGAUCUGCCCCCAACUUGGGUAUAAGCCUGGGAAACUGGGUCUAAUUCCCGAUAGGACUGCAGGGUGGUGCCUGUGGUGGAAAACGAUUUUCUAGUGGUUGGGGAUGAGCUCGCGGCCUAUCAGCUUGUUGGUGGGGUAAUGGCCUACCAAGGCGGCGACGGGUAGCCGGCCUGAGAGGGUGGACGGCCACAUUGGGACUGAGAUACGGCCCAGACUCCUACGGGAGGCAGCAGUGGGGAAUAUUGCACAAUGGGCGGAAGCCUGACGCAGCGACGCCGCGUGGGGGAUGACGGCCUUCGGGUUGUAAACUCCUUUCGACCGCGAGGAAGCCACCUGGUUGGAAGGGUGGUGACGGUAGUGGUAGAAGAAGCACCGGCUAACUACGUG